This 310-nucleotide unclassified non-coding RNA is filed under the name uncultured soil eukaryote. RNAcentral describes it as "sequence contains 5.8S rRNA gene, ITS2, 28S rRNA gene". The record is from RNAcentral.
AACGCAAGUUGCGCCCCAAGCCAUUAGGCCGAGGGCACAUCUGCCUGGGUGUCACGUAUCGUCGCCCCUCCCCACCCCUCUUCGCGGAGUGCGGGGCGGAAAAUGGCCUCCCGUGCGCAACUCGCUCGCGGUUGGCCCAAACAUGAGUCCCAGGCGACCAGAGCGCCGCGACGAUCGGUGGUGUGUCCUUAUGCUCGUCGCGCGUCGCGCGCGCCGGUCGCCCUUAGGGAUGCCUCGAGACCCUUAAGCGUCCCCUCGAAGACGCUCGCAUCGCGACCCCAGGUCAGGUGGGACUACCCGCUGAGUUUAA